CGGUGACCUCCGGCCAUGGGGGGGUCACUGACCCUCGUCUGCCGCGGCUCCGGAUUCGAUUUCGGGAAGUUUGGGAUGGGCUGGUAUCGCCAGGGACACGGGAAGGGCCUGGAAUUCGUCGCCAGCAUCAAAGACAGGAGUUCCGUCAUCAACUACGGAGCAUCGGUCAAGGGCCGAGUGACCAUCGCCAGGGACAACGGGCAGAGCUCGGUGACGCUGACCAUGAGUGGCCUCAGGGACGGCCAUUCCGGCUCCUAUUUCUGCACCAAGGGUUCUGAUGGUUAUAACACUGCUGCCUGA
Malurus melanocephalus (red-backed fairy wren) is the source of this 300-nucleotide non-coding RNA. NCBI's taxonomy places the organism in Eukaryota, Metazoa, Chordata, Aves, Passeriformes, Maluridae. The record is from the annotation of a RefSeq genome assembly.